CGGCGAACGGGUGAGUAACACGUAGGUGAUCUGCCCAUCAGACGGGGACAACGAUUGGAAACGAUCGCUAAUACCGGAUAGGACGAAAGUUUAAAGGUGCUUCUGGCACCGCUGAUGGAUGAGCCUGCGGCGCAUUAGCUAGUUGGUAGGGUAAAGGCCUACCAAGGCGACGAUGCGUAGCCGACCUGAGAGGGUGAACGGCCACACUGGGACUGAGACACGGCCCAG
This 228-nucleotide ribosomal RNA is filed under the name uncultured bacterium. Its description in RNAcentral is "partial 16S ribosomal RNA". It matches the Rfam family "Bacterial small subunit ribosomal RNA", at positions 96 to 334 of the family's 1533-position model. The record is from RNAcentral.